This 497-nucleotide ribosomal RNA is filed under the name uncultured bacterium. RNAcentral's name for it is "partial 16S ribosomal RNA". It matches the Rfam family "Bacterial small subunit ribosomal RNA", at positions 28 to 507 of the family's 1533-position model. The record is from RNAcentral.
GAUGAACGCUGGCGGCGUGCCUAAUACAUGCAAGUCGAGCGAACAGAUGAGGAGCUUGCUCCUCUGACGUUAGCGGCGGACGGGUGAGUAACACGUGGAUAACCUACCUAUAAGACUGGGAUAACUUCGGGAAACCGGAGCUAAUACCGGAUAAUAUAUUGAACCGCAUGGUUCAAUAGUGAAAGACGGUUUUGCUGUCACUUAUAGAUGGAUCCGCGCCGCAUUAGCUAGUUGGUAAGGUAACGGCUUACCAAGGCAACGAUGCGUAGCCGACCUGAGAGGGUGAUCGGCCACACUGGAACUGAGACACGGUCCAGACUCCUACGGGAGGCAGCAGUAGGGAAUCUUCCGCAAUGGGCGAAAGCUUGACGGAGCAACGCCGCGUGAGUGAUGAAGGUGUUCGGAUCGUAAAACUCUGUUAUUAGGGAAGAACAAAUGUGUAAGUAACUAUGCACGUCUUGACGGUACCUAAUCAGAAAGCCACGGCUAACUACGUG